GGCGGCGAGGCGGAGGGGAGGCGUUGUGUCGGGGCGGGCUGAGCCGAGGGUUCGCAGGGCCGGCGGUAGCGGCGGGCUGCCGACCGCCUCGCAGUGCGCAGAUGCUCUAUAUACUUGUGUGUUACAUAUUGUCUUGAGCAGUGCAUAUCAGAUCAUUUAAAUUGGAUGUUGUACGAAGAGUAAUCUGCAAGAUGAGUUCUGACCUUCAGUCUCUUGCUGCCAUGCCCUCUGCUUUCCCUUUUGACUGUUUUAUCUGGCUCAAAAGAAUCUGUCAGUCAUAGUAUCCAAGGACUUACCCUGAAUUGUACCUCUGAAGUAGCUAGAAGGCAAGUAGCAGAUGCAGUUUAUUUUGGAGGAAAAAAAAAAAUAUGUAUGUAUGUCUAUGCAUUUCUUUGCUAUGCUGGAGAGAAUGGUGCAACUACUUUCACUUCUUUCAGAAAGUUGACUUUAAAAGCUCAAAUUAAAUGUAAAAAUAAAUCUGUUCUUUGCUGCUUUGGGAAUAAUGUAGGCCAGGUUAAUGUCUGCCGUUUCACGCUAUGACAAAGCCUUUUCUUUAAAUGGUUACUUCUCAAAACCACAGGAAUAUAUUUAAAAUCUGUUUUGAGCUUCAUUUGAUACCUCUUAUUGUCAGAGCAGGAGUGUGAGUGGAGGUCCUCUCUCAUCCUUUAAGUGCAAAACCAGACAAUGUGUGAUAGAUACAUUGCCCUUCCAUAUAUCAAAAUGGGAUGGGGAGAGAAAAGUUUUGAAACCUUGCAUCUAAUUAGAGAAUGAGUUGUAAACAUUUGAAUAUUCAAUGCAAAUGCCAUGAAACCUCUUUUAUAAAAUGAUUCAUGUAACCUAUCUGGACUAUGUAGCAACUGGAAAAAAAAAUAGGACCCAGGAAAAUGUGACUUAUCAGGUCUUUCCCAACCUUCCUUGAGUGAUUGGCUUAUUUAAAGCAGUAUCUAAAUUAUCUUAAUUAUACAUAAUUACACAUAUACUUUUUUCUAUCAUCCCUUAAGGUUCCUGACUUUUACUGAAACCUUGAGCAAGCAAGCAGCUCUCAUGCAGAGACCAGUGCUUUCUGUGUUGGCCACCACCUUCUAGCUGUUUCCCAUCUGUUGUUUGUAAAGACUUCACCACUUGUGCUGCUGAUGUUGUUAGCUCUUUGCAAAACAAGCUCAAUUUUCUUGUAUCUGCAUACUGCAUCAAAGCAGCAGGAAAACUAUCCACAACUGUGAAUCCUGUGCAGCGCCAAGAUAUAUUUUUUUUAUUGUUAGAGAUCUCAAUUAGUGAACCUUAAUGGAAGUAAACAGUUGUGUUGCAAACUACAGGGCAUGUACACAGCAUACAUUUAGGUAGCCUUAUCUGUGUGGGAGAGCAAAGGAAAGAGACGGGCUGUGUAGAGAAAGGGAACAGGAGGUGUUAGAGGACCUAGUAGAAAGUGCAGAGAUCAAAACUUGCAGUAUUUUUGUCUUGUUCCUUUGCAGAACUUGUUGAACUUCCUCUGGCACUUCUCUGUCCUUGCAAUUCCUUUCUUUAUCAAGGAAAAACUUAGUGAGAAAGCUUAAUAUCUGAAUCCUAACAACUGUCACACAGGAAGAAUCUUUUCCUUUCAGUCUGAGGAGCAGGAGAGUUGUUCUGUGCUGCCAUGGCUCCAAAUGGAGUUUAAAAAGUAUUCCUCCAUUUAAAAGAACAGCCAGCAGACUUGCUUCACUUCAGGCAAAUGACUGUCCUCAACCUUCUGCUCUUUCAAUUAUUGCAUCCUGCUGUGCUUUCUGUAUGUACAAGGUGGGGUGGAAGCAUGUCUGGUACUUGCUCACCCUUGUGAAAAUUGCUGAAUUCCUCUUCUGAAUCAUAGUCUUUCUCUGCAGUGUCAUUUAAAAGUAUUGGGCUAAGUUUUGAUUCUUACUAAGGUCUUAUUAUACAAACUCCUGGUGUGUUUAUGAGACUUGCAGUAGAGAAAACAUAACAAGGAAUAUUCAUAUCUCUCAUAGCAUCUUGGUAAUCUAGAUAUAAAUAGUUUUAGAACUGUUGUUCUACAAGAAAAAGAUAAUUGUUUUUAUUAACCUUUCUCUUUCUUAAUGAUGUCUGGUUUUUAAUACAUUAAAUAUUCUCAAUAUUUAAUUAAGGUUUAGAACAGAUACUUGCAACAUAUUACUUACUAAAUAGUUUUUCUCAGAAGAAAUGCUAUAACUUAAAUAUAUUUUCUAUCAUGUGGGCACAAAGCCAUGAGGAGAGAUAGCGAUGUUUGCAGAAAAUAUCUCCCACAUCUUAACAUAUGUAAAGUUUGUAACUUCUUUCUUUUUCUACUGACAGAAGCCAAGAUGAUACAUCUUUCCACUUACACCUGCAAAAAUGCACAAGAGACUUAUAACUGAGACAUAGCCUGAAGAAAGUUGAUGAGGUUGUUAGUAGUCUCUGUCACAAAUAACAAGUCUAUGGACGGUUCUGGUCUUUUCUUCAGACUUUGAUGAAACCUACGAAGGACAGAAAGUUGAUUUUGCAGAAGGAGCAGCAGCUGUAAGAAGAAAAAGAGAAACAUCAAGCAAAAAAAGCUGGAGGAAGCCAAUGAGAAGAACUACAAUUAGUUAUGACUAAUCUGUUACAUGCUUAAGUUUUCUUGUACCUUUUAACCUUAUUUAUAGAGUCUAUUUAAUUUCUUUUAAAAGUUAAGACUUUUUUUCAUGAAGUACAUGAAGUAUACGAAGCUCAUAUACUUUGGCUGAGAAAUCUAUUAGCAUCUAGAGUAACACGACAGCAACAGCAUUUCAGAUUUUUGAUUAAAUAUAGGUUAGUAAAUCACAAGCAAUAAACCUGAAGUAUCUCACACCCCUUUGCCGUGCCCUCACUUUUCAGUGAUAGUUAAAGAAUGAUAUAAAAAAAUUCCUUUUUGUUUGUCUGUUUGACAUGGUCAAUGCAAAUAAAUCACUUAAGCUUAGGAAAACAGGUAAUUAUCUAGCAGCAGGCUCAUUCAUUUCCAGCCUGUAGGUGGAUGUAGUUUCAAACAGAAAAUGACAUUCUAAAUAUCCACAUGGACCUGUUAAUUGUGGCAGAAACGUGUAGAAUGCCCCAUGUAAAAUGAGCAUGCUACUUUUCCAUAAAAACCUUUAUUUCAGUGUCAAAAAUGCAAUGUGCAUUCAAGUUGAACUACACAUCUUGUUACUUCUCAAGAUGGUUGUGCCUCCUGGUCGACCAGGUCAAGAGUUUCAUAAGACUUUGCAUGCUUUGCAUAAAGUAUACCUCAAGUGGGAAUGACACCACAGGAAUAUUUAUGUUUUCAAGGCAUUCUUUGUAUUUGAAUGACAGUUGAGUGAACCAUCACUUAAAAGAAAGAAGAAAACAAAUGAUUUUUUUUUAAAUUAAUCAAACUGUUAAGUAUGGGAGGAACAUCUAGCAAACUAUAACGAUCGUUGAAGUUGCAACAGUAAGUUGUGGAGGAAAAAAUACUAUUGCUGUCCUAUUUUGGAGAUUACUAUGACAGGUUACUAAAUUCCACUCCACUUAAAAAUUUCUUCCCACAAAUUUAUAAAGUAUUUUCUAAAAAUUGAGCAGAGUUCCAUAAUGGAAUUCUGGCAAAUUGAAACAUGUUGCUGUGACAGUUCCUAAAAUAUUUCUAUUUUAUCUUUGUUUUGUAUUAUAAAUAUGUCAAGGUAAGUCAUUUACAUCUGCAUAAUCAUAAAUCAUAAUCAUAAAUCCACAUAAAUACAGCUUUAGUCUUACAGAUGAGUCUUAAGUAUUACAUAUGGUAUUAGCUUUGUGUUUGGCUACUGCUCUGUAUAACAAGUGACUAAAAAAUAAAUGAUAUUUAACAUUAACAAAACCGUUCUUAAUGGUUUCUCAAAUAGAAGUCAGUGGCAAAGAUAGAGGUCAUUGCCAGAAAAUAUUAAUGGUUCUGGGUUUUAUUCAAUUAGAACAAUACCAUGUGAAAUACCAUGUAAAAUGGGUGCAGGAAAUUGCAUCAACACCUUUCUAAAUAAGAAACAGAUGGGCUCAGAGAUAUACACCAAAAAAUAGCAGAUUUAUCUUACAGAUUUUAUUGAUGAAAUCUUUCAUAAGGAGCUUGUUCAAUAUUUGUUCCAGUAGACCACUGUAAGCGUUAACUGAGUAAGUUUAAAUCAAAAGUAAAACAAAUGUAUGUUUCUGCAUCCAUUUACAACGAGGUGAAGUUAACCCAGAAUUUUUAUGGGGAAAAGAAUUUACCAAACUGAGAGCUGAGUCUUCCCAUUCACAGGCAGAGAAAGAAGGAUAGCUUUUUGACAUCAAGAUAUAGGAAGUAUAUGUUGGAGAAGGAGCUGUGAAAGAUAGGCAUCACUUGUGUGGGGCCAUAAGGUUGGUAAAUUACUGUUAUAGAUAUUUCUUCAAUUAAAAUUUGAAGGUUUGCCCCAGAAUGCAGAUAUCAGCUCUGUCCUAUGUACAUUGAUCCUAGAUUUUAAAGCAAAGUUUUUUUGUUUGCUUGCUUUUUGUAUUGUCUGUUGAUUG
Molecule: long non-coding RNA, 4461 nt
Organism: Tympanuchus pallidicinctus (lesser prairie-chicken)
Lineage: Eukaryota; Metazoa; Chordata; Aves; Galliformes; Phasianidae
Exons: 2
Source: RefSeq, a predicted model, not a curated record